UAGGGAAUCUUCGGCAAUGGGGGGAACCCUGACCGAGCAACGCCGCGUGAGUGAAGAAGGUUUUCGGAUCAUAAAGCUCUGUUGUUAAGGAAGAACGAGUGUGAGAAUGGAAAGUUCAUACUGUGACGGUACUUAACCAGAAAGGGACGGCUAACUACGUGCCAGCAGCCGCGGUAAUACGUAGGUCCCGAGCGUUGUCCGGAUUUAUUGGGCGUAAAGCGAGCGCAGGCGGUUAGAUAAGUCUGAAGUUAAAGGCAGUGGCUCAACCAUUGUAGGCUUUGGAAACUGUUUAACUUGAGUGCAGAAGGGGAGAGUGGAAUUCCAUGUGUAGCGGUGAAAUGCGUAGAUAUAUGGAGGAACACCGGUGGCGAAAGCGGCUCUCUGGUCUGUAACUGACGCUGAGGCUCGAAAGCGUGGGGAGCGAACAGG
This 429-nucleotide ribosomal RNA is filed under the name Bacteroidota bacterium. Its description in RNAcentral is "Bacteroidetes bacterium partial 16S ribosomal RNA". It matches the Rfam family "Bacterial small subunit ribosomal RNA", at positions 355 to 776 of the family's 1533-position model. The record is from RNAcentral. Lineage: Bacteria; Pseudomonadati; Bacteroidota.